This 253-nucleotide ribosomal RNA is filed under the name Blautia luti. Its description in RNAcentral is "partial 16S ribosomal RNA". It matches the Rfam family "Bacterial small subunit ribosomal RNA", at positions 524 to 776 of the family's 1533-position model. The record is from RNAcentral. Lineage: Bacteria; Bacillati; Bacillota; Clostridia; Lachnospirales; Lachnospiraceae.
UACGUAGGGGGCAAGCGUUAUCCGGAUUUACUGGGUGUAAAGGGAGCGUAGACGGUGUGGCAAGUCUGAUGUGAAAGGCAUGGGCUCAACCUGUGGACUGCAUUGGAAACUGCCAUACUUGAGUGCCGGAGGGGUAAGCGGAAUUCCUAGUGUAGCGGUGAAAUGCGUAGAUAUUAGGAGGAACACCAGUGGCGAAGGCGGCUUACUGGACGGUAACUGACGUUGAGGCUCGAAAGCGUGGGGAGCAAACAGG